CUGAAAUUACAAAUGAGCAACUUAAAUACAAAAAAUAACAAACGCGGUUAGUCUACACGAGUUCAGCAAGACGGCAUCCUCUCCCAAGAAUGAAAGAAGCCUGGAUACCUCUUCAUAAUGCCCAGUUUUCCUGGCCCCUCACCCUCCAUUGAGCGUGCCUCUCCAGCCGCUGGCCCGGGCCCAGGCGCUCUGCUCCCGUUCGGUCCUCCUGGCUGUGACCCGGCCACAAGGCGCUCUGCUCCGACUCAGCCGCUACUUGUCGUGAAGGGGUGACGGAUUGUCGCGCUCCUCGCAGCAUCAGGCCCCGUCCACGCUGCUUCGACGGCGUCUCCACCAGCCGACCAUGGAAAAUGAAGGUCAAGCAUUUUCCACAUUAGCAGCUUUACCAGGAGGGUAGAAAUGGAUAUCUGCUGUAAUUACCCUUCACCCCCUCCACUGAAAAACUGCUCCACACAUGUAUCUCCCAAAACUGAUGGUUCUCUUCAACACACUUUCAUAACAGACAAGAGAAUGAUGCAGAGGCAAUAUUAGAUGAGGUAUGUUAGAAAUUGGGGUAAAGGUGAGACAGGCACCUCUGAGUUCAUGCCAACUGUCUGGCACCAAACGAACUUCCAAGCAGUUAACCGUCUAAAUCCGGUGUGUGCAAUUUUCAAACACACAGUCAACUUACUGAAGCCUCUCCCGCCUUACUGUAAAGAAAACACACAGUUUUUCACCACUUCAGAGGCUACGCUGAAUCCAUUUCUUUAACUUUAUUUUUUUUAAAUUUACGAGUGUCUGCUGCAUCGUAUAAAAGAGGUUUUACUUUUGUAGCUGGACUAGUAAAAAUGCUGUUCACACAUAUGCAGGAAGCAUUUUACUGCUUUACCGGCCUCCGAAGGGUCACUUCUCUUUCAAUGAACUAUCAACAAACAGCCUAUAAUAUUCAUAACGCUGAAAGUAAAGACAUGUAUGGUAAAUGCUGUCUAAAUGUGCCUGGAAAGCUUUGUUUAUUUACAACGUUGCAACUCACUGGUGUGGAAUUUUCGAAACCUCUUGUUUUUCCUCAGAACCCAAAAAUUAUUUUAGAACAAACAGCUUGUCAGAGAGAAACUGUGAUUGUGUGACAUUGAAAAACUGUUUCUUAUUCUUACCCCUAAGCCACCCACUCAACGGUCUGACCACACGCACCAUGAAGGAGUAGAGAUUUACCAAUUUGCCAGUUGUUUUGAUAUUAGACUGCAGCCUGUUGAGUAAUGCAGGUUAAGGUCUGUUUACCUUCGCUGCUGGGAAUGGGUGAGGCCUAACCCUCAGAAGGUGGUUGACUCACUGUUGACACGUGCUUUCCAGCCCCCCCCCCCCCGACAUGACAGCACAUCAAUUUGGUAUGGUGGGUAAAUCUAAUUGCUUGCUGUGUUUUCAAGCAAUGUUCCUUUCCCCAUACGUAGAGCUCGGGUAAUGUAAUGACUGCGAGUCCCGCCACUGCACGGACCUCAUGCUUGGUUAGCUGCAAGCAGAAUCAUGUGCUCUCUUCAGCAGCAGUUAGGAGAAUGAAAAAUCUUCUUCACUGCCCCCAAUUAACAGUGAAGGUCGAGCGCCAGAAAGUUAUGAUGCGAUUUAACCCCCCGCAUGAGGUCAAUUUGACCUGAAUAGCUUCCUAUUAAGCAUGAUAAAUUUGUUAUUUUUCAAUCCAUUAAACCUUUUCCCCAUAGUCCAUUUAGUCGGAACAAACCGUUGGCCUGCCAUAACCUAUGUUCUGUUUACCACGAGCAGGCUUCAAGGGGAAAAGUAAGGGGAUGACACAACAAUUAGCUGCGAUGACUUCAAAGUGCUGUCUGCCACAGGCUUUCGCUAAUUAUCAGUCACCAGUGUUGGGUGAGGAUCCCUCCAGUGCGAGGGUCAAUAGGGUAACACCAACAGCAGAAUAUAACAAAGGCUAAACUUCAGGCCAGCCAGUGCAACGGCUAUCAAUGAAACCUUGUUAUGACCAUGGGAUCCAUGGGAUGGGACUGAUGGGAAGAAUAGGCAUGUGAGCUUCAGGGAGGAAGCCUCUGACUACGCUGACCUGUCUACAAGAGCCCCCCGGGCAGACAGAAACCAAGGCCUCCAACAGAUGUUUGGGAGAAACUGGCCUAUUCAUCAUGGCACUUUUGUGGAAUGUCUUUGAACUGCUUUUUCAUUUUGUGUCACAUCCAUCUCAAGCCAAACCAGAGAAGGUCAAUUAGAUAGAUAGAUAGAUAGAUAGAUGGAUAGAUGGAUAGACAGAUAGAUAGAUGAUUUCCAUGUUUGUUAAGUAGGGCUUAGUUCCUGAGUGUCUCCCAUCACUGCCCAGCUCAUAAAUCACACCCCUGAGGGAGCUUUUGGGCUGGACGUGUUAUUGUGCAACUCUGUCUACAAUCCCACACCACACUCUGCUUCAUCCACAGUUCUCAUGUGCUCACACACACACACACACAUAAAUUGGCAUGUUGGAGUGUGAAGUCAUGGCAUGGUUACAGGGUCUCGAUCGGCCCAUGUGGAACUGCUUUUUCCUCCCACUCUCCCAUGCCGCAGCAGUAGGAUUUAAAUCACCCAAGGCCAAGAUGACAAUGACAAAACUAUAUACAGAAAGAGUGACUGAGUCGGUAAAGCAGCUCUCCACACCAGCUCGCAAAAUCCACAAAAAAGAAAACACAGAGGAACGCGCACAGGAUUCGUUGUGUGGAUUGUCUUUUGUUAACAUUCCAGUUCACUGUAAUGUAAAAGUAUUCAUAUGACUCUACCCCAGCCUGCCGGUACAGCUGAGUUUUAUACCGAGCGCUCAGUAGGGAGCAGGAAGAGAGGCCCCGUGUGUCCAGAGUCCCGUCUCCUGAGCAGCACUAAGCACUCAGCAGGCUUCAAGGGCGAAUGUUCAUUAGGGAGCCAAGUUUUAAUAAGCCCGCAGACAGACAUGCUGCUAAACAGCCUCAAGUGCCAGAAGAAGUGAGUUUACUUAUCCUGCUGAUCCUCAUGACUUCGCAUGGCAUCAUGAGCAACGCAUCUAGGUACAUGACCCAACGGUCACCGUCUGCACAUCAUUUACCAUCAUGCCAGGGAGUGAAAUGUUUUAGAUACUUUGUUACUGAGAUCAGUAUACACGUGACUGAAUUACGAUGGAGGAGUUAAGCAAUGUUUACUUCAGCCGUUAUUUAUCAAGUGAAAGUUGAGUAAGCAUGUGCAGGGCUUCACAUUCACACCAGUUUAGAAUAACUACAGGCCAGAUGAGGCCUAAAUGCCUUGCCCAAGGGCAGGAGAGCGACAAGUGUUUAUUCACUUGCCCUAAAUUGUUCUGCAAGACCUGCAAGUAGCUGAAAAUAUCUGUUAUUAGGCAUAGUUCUUCAUGGGAUAUAGACAUUUAUUUUAAAAUACAGAAUUACAAGUAAUACUCCUGCAGUUAAAACAUAAAUGCCCAGUAGUGAUAACAAUUGUACUUCUAUGUGACAGUAUGGUUCCUGUGAGAUGUGCAUCAUACUUUUCAUUGAUCAUAGGUUUUAUAUUACAAAUCUCAAAAAUUGUUAAUUAUGAACAUUGAUGCGUAAUGCUAAGAAUUUGUACCAGUGCAAAAUCUACCUACCAGCCUCCCUAAAGUGCACUAAUUAACAAAUUGUAUCUUUUUAACCCUUACAAAGCCCACUUUAAAUAUUAAAAACUAAUAGUUUCACUGAUGUCAGACAGGCAAGGCCAGCUGCUUCCUCAUGUUUGCUUCUAGCCUGAAUCAAAGAUAAGGUGAUUGGUUGGUGGCUCUAGUGACAGAUAUGAAAAUAGAAUCUCCAUCAUCCAUCCAUUUUUUCUGCUUGUCUGGGUUACUUUAUGGUGGUAGCAGGUUAAGCAGGAUAUUCUAGAUGUCGCUCUUCCCAGCAACUCUUUUGAGUUCCUGCUGAGGGAUGCUAAGGCGUUCUCAGGCCAGAUGAGAUAUUGAAUCCAAUUCUGGAUCUCCUUCCAAUUGGACGUGAUUGAAAAACCUCUACAGGAGGCAUCCUUAUCAAAUGCCGGAACCACCUCACCCAACUUAAAUUGACGUGAAGAAACAGCAGUUCUACUUCAGAUUCCCUCCAUUGCCAGAGCUCCUAACCCUGAGGCUGAGCUCAGCCACUCCAAUUUUGACGACUUGUAUCUCAGCUAAUUUUUUUGGUCACUGCCCACAGCUCAUGACUAUAGGUGAGGUCAGAACAUAGAUUAACCUGUAAAUCGAAUGCUUUGCCCUCUGGCUCAACAACACCCAUAUUACUGCUGAUGCUGCACCAAUCUAUCUAUGUAUGGUAUGCUCAUUUUUCUGUCCUCCAUCGAAAGGAUCCUUUGAUAUUUCAACUCCUUUGCUUGGGGCAGCAGGUCACUCCCAACCCAGAAAGAGCAAGUCAUCAGUUUCCAGCAGAGAAUCAUGGCCUCAGAGUUGUAGGUGCUGACUCUCAUCCCGGUGGCAAGGAACCAACUCUGCAGUUCCCAAACCAAUGCUUUGAGAUCCUGUCCAUGAAUAGGAUUGAAGACUAGGGGCAACCCUGGUGGAGUCCAGCACCCACUGGAAACAUGUUUAACCAUGUGCCAAGAAUACAAAUACUGCUCUCACUUUGGUUGUAUAAGGACCAGAUAGCUCGUAACAAUGGCCUCCAAUUCCAACAGCACUUCCAACAGGGUUCCCAUAGGGGACAUGAUGGUAGGCUUUUCCAGGGCCACAAAAGACAUAAGAACUGGAUAGUCAGACUCCCAUGACCCCUUCCAGCAACUCCAGAAGGGUAGAAGUCCAAGAGUUAGUCCAGCGUUCAAUGUCCAGGAUGGAAUCUGCAUUUCUCCUCUUGAAUCUGUGGUUCAACAACUGGUUGGGGGUCUUCUUUCUUUUCUAGCACCAUUGGUUAACUUUCCCAAGAAACCUGAACAAUGUGACUCCCCAAUAACUUUAUUGUGGAGUUGAAAAUACAAUGUUCGCCUCAGAUAUGUGACAGAAGUUGAACUAUCACAAAAUAUAAGUGCUCAGUAUUUAGUACUGAGAAUUUACAUUUACUUCAGUACUUGGGUAAAUGUCCACAGUUAUAUUUCAUUGCUGUUUUUAAUGUGUUCAUUAAUGAAUGAACUGCUAACUGUAGCGUGUUUGUCAACCUACUCCAGGAACAGUCACGUUUUGUUUGAAUGAAUUAUACACAAAUCAAAUGUACGUAAGCAGAGGAUCUCUACGGAGUUUUGGUUUGUUUUCUAUAACAAAUGUCAAGAUGCCAGACCCUGAAAUAUAUUUUGUAGUGAAACAGGAACACACAAGAAUAUAUCAAGGUUGUACUUUAUCACUCUGUCAGUAUGAAGUGGUUUGACUAUAUGAUAACUGAUCCAGAGUUGUUUCUGCAAUGUCAAGGCGCUCUCCCCACACUCAGCCUCUUUUCUCUGUGGAUUAUCUUGGCACAGUGUACACCAGUGUUUAUCUAAGGAAGAGGUAAAUUGCUAAAUGAAUAAAAACAGGAUGACAGCUGAGUAGAAAAAUACAUAAUGACAGCCGUGACGAUUAUUGAGUGCUGUUAACAAAACGAUAAAGUCAUAAAAGUGUCCUUCAACUGUUUCUACUUUGCUAAAGAUAAGAUAACCCAGAGAAAUCAGUCAUGGGGCUUGUAUAUUAAGACUUGCAUGACAGACAUUCAUAGAAGUCCAUUCUGCGUGGGAUGUUUAGAUGAAUUUCAGAGCAAAAUUUGGCCCAAAAUCGUGCACAUUUUGUUCUGAACCAGAUUUUAGUUUGGAAAUUAUCUAAGGCUGCGAGGGAUUUCAUAAUGGGCAAAUGGAGAAUGGAAUGGAAGGGUGUAGUUCAUGCAUUCACAAACAACCCAGUGUCUGUUUGCUGUUUUGCAAAAUUGAUCCAGAGUAUGUUAAGCCUCCCUCUGAAAAUAAACAGAUUCUGUGGUGUUCUAGCAAAACAAAGAAGAUAGAUAGUCAGCGAUACUAUCCACAAAAGUCCUGGCUGAUAUUAGAGGCUAUGAUGGUCAAAUUCACAUUACCCGCACUACUGUUUCCUGCACCUUGUUUUCAUCUCGCCGGUUGAUAGUAUGCGAUGAGAAGUUUAGUAAUCAUUGGCUGUGAUUGCUUGCAGAGGCUCAACCAUCUGUCCACCAUUUAGUAUAAAGAAUGAUUCCUGUUUGCAGCAAUGAGUCGGAUCUACUUAUUAGAUCACUGCGUCAUCCCUUAUGAUGAUGGAUAGUGUCGUGUUGGGUCACUUUUUUUAUUGGUGGAUUGAUCAAAAAUGCACUCAGUUUUCCGCUUCAGGCCAAACCACAUCUGGAGGCAACCUGGGAGCUGUUAAUCACAACCUAAACAGAAAAUAGCUCAAUCUCCUUGUUGCAAACACCCAGAAACUUCUAUAGUUGCAUAACAGCCUUUAUUAUGUCAUUUUUGUUCUUAGAAGAAGACAGAAAAUGGAAGGUUUUCAUAUUCCUGCGGUAAUAAAUACAGGGUGCCUUCGAAUUGUGGCUAAAAAGUGUUACACACUGUAUUUACUUGGAAGUUUAUUUCCAUGCAAAACCUCCUCAGAGGAGUCUUUCUGGUCAAAUGCUUUGUUGAUGUAAUGUUUACUUUGCCACAGAAAUCUUGCUGUUGCAUUUUCUAAUGACUGCAACAAGAUCACAGAUUAAUUUAGGGGAUGGAAACUAUCUCAACCACAGUCCACGGACGAACUUGGACAUAUGACGAAAUUUGUAUGUCCUUGUGGAGCAGUUGGCUCAUUAUGCGGAAGGUUUUGAAAUGAUGAUGGUGGUUUGGAAUGAACAGCUUCAAAAGUUGGGGGACUCCAUCAGGUCGGUGAAAUAUGUUUACUAAUUGGUGGGAAGAGACGCAACGAGGGGAGAAACCUAACAGCCAACCUGACUGAUUAUGCUGACAGCUUCAUGGCAAAAGUUACUACGAAUAUCCAAUAUUUUUAUGUUUGUUCAAAGUUUUUCACAGCCUGAACAGUGUCACCGGUGGGCCUUUAUCCUGUUCUUCAGCUUGGUCCAAACAAAGCAAAUAAAUCAUAAGCAUGGCAA
Molecule: long non-coding RNA, 6986 nt
Organism: Acanthochromis polyacanthus (spiny chromis)
Lineage: Eukaryota; Metazoa; Chordata; Actinopteri; Pomacentridae
Exons: 2
Source: RefSeq, a predicted model, not a curated record